Molecule: ribosomal RNA, 463 nt
Filed under: Zeuxevania splendidula
Lineage: Eukaryota; Metazoa; Arthropoda; Insecta; Hymenoptera; Evaniidae
Description: eukaryotic LSU rRNA
Source: RNAcentral
CCUGAGAAACCCGAAAGAUCGAAAGGGGAGAUUCAUCGUCAGCGACGUCGGCUUUUCGGUGGUUCCCGAUGCGCUGCGCCCAUCCCGGGCGUUUGCCGCACGGGUCCUCCGUGCAACCUCAUGUCCGGCGGCGUCGGCGUGCACUUCUCCCCUAGUAGGACGUCGCGACCCGUUGGGUGUCGGUCUACGGCUCGAGUCGUCGCCUGUCCCGUCGCUUCGGCGUCUCGGGACAGACGCUCGGUCGCCCGGCCGGCUGCCCGGCGGUACGCGCACGGUAUCUGGCCGCAAUUUCUUCUCGAACGCACUGCGUCUCAGGCCCGCCGCAAGCGCGGUCAGUGUAAACCCGGAGGUACGGGACCUGGUGCCGUCCCCGGGCCUGGCCCGCUGUUCGCCGGCGGUGUUCUCUGACAGGCCACGAGCGAUGAUACCGGUCGGCGACGCUAUUGCUUUGGGUACUUUCAGG